RNAcentral lists this long non-coding RNA (2623 nucleotides) under Homo sapiens (human). RNAcentral's name for it is "PREDICTED lncRNA (TCONS_00107449)". The record is from RNAcentral. Lineage: Eukaryota; Metazoa; Chordata; Mammalia; Primates; Hominidae.
CGCCGGUCUAAAUCGUUACUUGGCGGAAAGUUCCCAUGAGUCUUUGCCAGCGUCCCCCUCCUUUUGUGAGGAUUGGGAUAUUCCGACUCCUUAAGGGCCUGGCGCACAUAAGGUGUGACCUUUUCAUUCCCGUUGUUAUGGAGGGCCACAUCUGCCAGAGCCUGGAGUCUGCGAAGGCCGGGACCCGGUUCCCCGGCCCACAGUGGGGGUGUGCAAACCCGAGAGAACUGGUCGCUGAAACCUCUACAACUUAGUUGACCGUAACUGCCAGAGCCCUGCCCUGAAUUCCUGUCCUUACUCCCUCUUUAAGAUUGCGUACCCACUGCAGAGUGCUGAAGACGGGGUAGCCACGAGGUUGCAAAUUCGUGAAGAAUCAGCAUCAUGUUUGGCAGCUGAGUAUUGGAGCCAGGAGCCUGCCAUGAGGUUUUGAGAACAGAGUGCUGUUUUAGAGCUGGCAGCAGCAUCUCAGCCCAAGAGAAGGUUAUAUUCCCAGAGGAUGUCAGUCCCAAGGACCAGUAGCUGCCAUCAGUUUGGAUUCUGAAAACUAACUGGCAUCAACACUGGGUGUAGAAACAUGCUUGCCUUAUGUAUCAGAGGACAUGCUCAGCAGAUCCAAGAGAUAUAUUUGGCAACUUUUUCUAGAAAAGGCACAUUGGGUAUCAUUCAUUACAUUCUUGAGUUUUUUUGGGUUUUUUUUUUUUUUUUUGAGACAGUCUUGCUGUAUUGCCCAGGCUGGAGUGUGGUGGCACAAUCACAGCUCAUUGCAUCCUCAAUCACCCAGGCCUAAGCAAUCCUCCCACCUUGUAGCUGGGACUACAGCUCACAGCACACCUGGCUAAAAUUUUUUUUUUGUUGAGACGGAUUCUCUAUGUUGCCCAGGCUGGUCUCAGGCUCCUGGGCUCAGAUGGUCCUCCUGCCUCAGCUUCCAAAGGCACAGGCCAAGUUGUAGCUUUGUCCCUUGCCAUCAUGCCCAACAAGAGGUUCUAUACCUUUUAAUGAAUUGACUUUCAUAAAUUGGUUAUGUUGGUGGGCAAAGUUCUUUAAGCUGGAAAUUGUAAAUUCCUCCUGAAAUGUUUUUUCAUGCAGUUACCAUGAACUAAUACUACAAUAAAGGAUGGUCUUGGGUGUCAAUUCUUGAAAAUGUGUAUUUGAAGAAAAAGUAAAUUUCGCCUACUGUUGUCAGAUAUUAGCAGUCCAGAUAUUCGCUCUAGCUUGUAAACUUCCCUGUGGUCAGCCUAAGCUCUUAACCCCCUAUUCUACAGCUUUAGACUGAAGGCAAAAGCUCAAAGCAUUUAAGGCCUCCUCAAUUUCGGCCCCUGCUGCUCUGUGCUCUGUUCCUUGGUGUAGCUUUGUUCCAGCUCCUGCAGCAUUGCACCAUUCCUAACCACAACCUUAACAGCAUGUAGGGCCCCAUACUCUAGGCCCCAUCUUGCUGUCUUCCUGUGUUGGAAUCUUGCCUACCAAGGCCUGUCAAGAGGGUCCUCCCCCAUACUGUUUGCCCACAAGGUUCAAGAGUGAUUGGCUCCCAGUCUUCCUGGACUGAACUACUUGGAUCUAGGGGUUGCCUGUUAUUUAGAAGAGAUCCCUUAACUGGUAGGGCCCUUUCAGUAGGACAGUAUUUGGGUAAGGGGAGGGUAUAAGAUGAGAACCUUUGCUAAGUUAGGUUCCUUUGGGAGCCUCCAGUUUGUUUCUCCCUCUCCCCAGCCAUCUUGUUGGAUCUGCCAAGGGAUUGGACUCCUUCAUUGUCCUAGGUUUUUAAGGUUUUAAAGCCCACCUUCUGCAGUCGGUUUUCUGGAAUGUGUUGGUGGAUUACUUAAGAGUUAUGGGGAAAGAGUUCUUACGGCCUGUCUAGGUCAGUGAAGUCAUACUGGCAAGUGACAAGAAGGAAGCCAGGUUUGUCACUUACCCUGCAUGCUAAGGACAUCAGAGCCCACAUAGAAGUCUGGUAGUUUUUCAGCCAGCAGUGGGUAGGGAAGGUGGAUAGGGGAUUUCUGAACAGGACUUUAUGCCUGUAUGCAUGGGCACCAUGUCUGUCCUGAGCACUACCACAUGGCAUCGUAGGCUGCUCUGUCAAAGGAUAUAGCGAUAGCUGGUCCUAUGGGCAGAUGCCUAGAAUCAAGGUGGGCCUCAGAAAUAGGGCUGGGUCUCCAUAAGGAGGUAGGCCACGUUCAGUCCACCCCUAGCAUAGAUGGAACUGGGGUCUCGGGCAACCAGGAGUUACAGGAAUUUUGCUAAAGAUUCCCACCUUCCUUGAGUGGGGACACAUUCCUCUGGUUGGAGCUUGUUCCCCUAAAUGAAAAAUGUAAUGCAGUACAUGUAGGGGCCCUACUGUAUUCUUUUUCUGGGGGAAAGCUCUUGGUGUUCACAAUGGCUCAGGCUUACAGUACCUCCAGCCAUGUGCCCAUUUCCACAAGUCUUUGGGGAAGGCCAUGAGCUGAGCUGAGAGGGUUCUCUGGGGCCUGGGAUGACUUAAGAACCAAAUGGCAGAUAAUGGGAUAGGGGGCAGAUGCAGAGGACCAACGGGAAGUUUUAACACAAAUCCCCUUCCCCAGAUGAUAUGGUUUGCCUUUCUGUAGGUGGGUGGCCCAGGCCAAUUUUUGGCAAUAUCCUUAACCCACCUGAU